Molecule: ribosomal RNA, 386 nt
Filed under: uncultured bacterium
Lineage: Bacteria
Description: bacterial SSU rRNA
Rfam family: Bacterial small subunit ribosomal RNA
Source: RNAcentral
AUUAAACGCUGGCGGCAUGCCUUACACAUGCAAGUCGAACGGUAGCGCGGGGCAACCUGGCGACGAGUGGCGAACGGGUGAGUAAAGCAUCGGAACGUGCCCUGGAAUGGGGGAUAACGUAGCGAAAGUUACGCUAAUACCGCAUAUUCUGUGAGCAGGAAAGCAGGGGAUCGCAAGACCUUGCGUUCUGGGAGCGGCCGAUGUCGGAUUAGCUAGUUGGUGGGGUAAAAGCCUACCAAGGCGACGAUCCGUAGCGGGUCUGAGAGGAUGAUCCGCCACACUGGGACUGAGACACGGCCCAGACUCCUACGGGAGGCAGCAGUGGGGGAAUUUUGGGACAAUGGGCGGAAGCCUGAUCCAGCCAUGCCGCGUGAGUGAAGAAGGCC